This 497-nucleotide ribosomal RNA is filed under the name uncultured bacterium. RNAcentral's name for it is "partial 16S ribosomal RNA". It matches the Rfam family "Bacterial small subunit ribosomal RNA", at positions 28 to 507 of the family's 1533-position model. The record is from RNAcentral.
GAUGAACGCUGGCGGCGUGCCUAAUACAUGCAAGUCGAGCGAACAGACGAGGAGCUUGCUCCUCUGACGUUAGCGGCGGACGGGUGAGUAACACGUGGAUAACCUACCUAUAUGACUGGGAUAACUUCGGGAAACCGGAGCUAAUACCGGAUAACAUGUUGAACCGCAUGGUUCAACAGUGAAAGACGGUUUUGCUGUCACUUAUAGAUGGAUCCGCGCCGCAUUAGCUAGUUGGUAAGGUAACGGCUUACCAAGGCAACGAUGCGUAGCCGACCUGAGAGGGUGAUCGGCCACACUGGAACUGAGACACGGUCCAGACUCCUACGGGAGGCAGCAGUAGGGAAUCUUCCGCAAUGGGCGAAAGCCUGACGGAGCAACGCCGCGUGAGUGAAGAAGGUCUUCGGAUCGUAAAACUCUGUUAUUAGGGAAGAACAAAUGUGUAAGUAACUAUGCACGUCUUGACGGUACCUAAUCAGAAAGCCACGGCUAACUACGUG